RNAcentral lists this ribosomal RNA (1759 nucleotides) under Triticum aestivum (bread wheat). RNAcentral describes it as "partial small subunit ribosomal RNA". Lineage: Eukaryota; Viridiplantae; Streptophyta; Magnoliopsida; Poales; Poaceae. The record is from RNAcentral.
CGUCAGAACAUGGGUGUGCCUAGGUUUGCCUGAGUCGCCUACUUUACGCAUUAACCUCAACGGGACUGAGGAACUCUAGGCCUGGUUACCUUCCAGCGUAGGUUGCAGACUACUGCGGGGCUGUUGUUUCAGCAGCGGACCAGAGGAGGCGGCGAGGGCGGUGAGAGGACGAGGAUGAGGAGCGGCCGCGGCGGCUGCGGCACGGUGGCGAUCAGCCUCAAAGAGGGGUCCUGCUCCGCAUGAAGCGCGGCGUCCACUAACGGACGUCCCUGCCGAGCCCGAGGAAGGGGUCCUCGGCCGAGUUGCUACCUAUGACGCUAACGUGGCUACCUUGGCUGCUCGGUCCGUGAAGCCGAACGGGUCUUCCGUUUAAAAUAACAUGUUUGUAACCUCUAGAAGGAGCAUAGAACAAGAGAAGCAAACACUUACUAUUGUAAACGCUAACGACACUACCUUCACUACUCAUACUUUCACCGUAGGUAACAGGCUUGUGUACAUUUUUCUCUGUACUACGACGGCUCUGUCUGUUACCACAAUCACUCGACAGUCAGCGUGUAAAUCCACCUUGUCUGUAUUAAAGAUCAUUUGUAUGUGAACUGUAUCUUCUAGAAUAGGUCUUCGAUUCUCCUAAUUCUUACCGACGUCAAUAACUUGACCCAGAACAACAUACAUAAAAACAAAAGAUGAAACGAGCUGCCUCGUGAGCCCGUGCCUCCUCUGUUAUAUAAAACUUUGCAAUCUUUUCAAAAUUCGAAGAUCCCGACUAGCUCUUAACCUCUACCCUUCCAGUCCGUAGGUGUUCCAAAGAUGCUCAUUGAUCGGAUGUGUAGACGACAAUUUUUCUUUGAUCCGGUCCUGUCAGCACUAAAUAGGUACGUUAUAAAAGACAGGCUGGAAGGACGGCCAUUGCGGUCAAGUCACGAACACACAUAUAAUUGAAUGAUAACACAAGCACACAACAACCGCUACCGUAGGUAUCCCACCGACACCACGACAAGCGCCAUUCUCGUACCAAUUGUUAUGUUGGUUGUUAGCCAAUAUUCCUCAACGGUACAUGUAGUCAUUUAAAAUUUAUACAUGAUGAAAUAAUUAUUAUCAACCGGAUGAAAUGUUGGAGUGUUUAACAGGACUCCGAGCAUGACGUCGACUGAUGAUUACUUGUCAAACGAAGAAAAGAGAGAGGAGAAAAGUGAUGAGGUUGAUUCGUUUCUAUCUUAUAAAAUCAGGAAUAUCGGACAAAUACAGUAGAAUAAUAUGAACGAGAUUCAAAAGAUCCGACAUAGAGACAGAACCACAUCGUCAACGUCGGCUGUGUUCCUCGGUCAGUCGGUCACCGCGAAACCGGUCGGGGCAUCUAACAGCAGACCGCCUAACGCUGACAAUAGGAUCCCGUCUCCCUUCCGAUACUUCAAGGCAGGCACGAACAAUACGCUUGACUUCAAAACUGACGGCGAAGAGAAUGGAACUAGCGACGGACAAAACAGAAACCCCUAGCUACGUAGUAACAAACAAGAGCAUCCACGUAGUUAGAAACUAGUGUACUACGAACGGAACUACAUUACAGAUGCCACCACAUUCUUUGAGACCGACUACCAUUACGCAUUGGACAAAUAAUAUAGUAGUGAGAUUGGUGCCAUGCAUACUGUUAUAAAGUAGGCUGUGACUUGGUAGCGGGAACUAGUUUGUCAUAGGUUGAAGUGUGAGAACGUAGCCAUUGAAGUGGAAAACUUGGAAUUUGGGAAAGAUCUUUGCUUUAGUG